CGGACGGGGGAGUAAUGUCUGGGAAACGUGCCCGAUGGAGGGGGAUAACUACUGGAAACGGUAGCUAAUACCGCAUAACGUCGCAAGACCAAAGAGGGGGACCUUAGGGCCUCUUGCCAUCGGAUGUGCCCAGAUGGGAUUAGCUAGUAGGUGGGGUAAAGGCUCACCUAGGCGACGAUCCCUAGCUGGUCUGAGAGGAUGACCAGCCACACUGGAACUGAGACACGGUCCAG
RNAcentral lists this ribosomal RNA (233 nucleotides) under uncultured bacterium. RNAcentral's name for it is "partial 16S ribosomal RNA". It matches the Rfam family "Bacterial small subunit ribosomal RNA", at positions 99 to 334 of the family's 1533-position model. The record is from RNAcentral.